This 647-nucleotide ribosomal RNA is filed under the name uncultured marine bacterium. RNAcentral's name for it is "bacterial SSU rRNA". It matches the Rfam family "Bacterial small subunit ribosomal RNA", at positions 8 to 637 of the family's 1533-position model. The record is from RNAcentral.
AGAGUUUGAUCAUGGCUCAGGACGAACGCUGGCGGCGUGCCUAAUACAUGCAAGUCGAGCGAAUCGAUGGGAGCUUGCUCCCUGAGAUUAGCGGCGGACGGGUGAGUAACACGUGGGCAACCUGCCUAUAAGACUGGGAUAACUUCGGGAAACUGGAGCUAAUACCGGAUACGUUCUUUUCUCGCAUGAGAGAAGAUGGAAAGACAGUUUACGCUGUCACUUAUAGAUGGGCCCGCGGCGCAUUAGCUAGUUGGUGAGGUAAUGGCUCACCAAGGCGACGAUGCGUAGCCGACCCGAGAGGGUGAUCGGCCACACUGGGACUGAGACACGGCCCAGACUCCUACGGGAGGCAGCAGUAGGGAAUCUUCCGCAAUGGACGAAAGUCUGACGGAGCAACGCCGCGUGAACGAAGAAGGCCUUCGGGUCGUAAAGUUCUGUUGUUAGGGAAGAACAAGUACCAGAGUAACUGCUGGUACCUUGACGGUACCUAACCAGAAAGCCACGGCUAACUACGUGCCAGCAGCCGCGGUAAUACGUAGGUGGCAAGCGUUGUCCGGAAUUAUUGGGCGUAAAGCGCGCGCAGGUGGUUCCUUAAGUCUGAUGUGAAAGCCCACGGCUCAACUGUGGAGGGUCAUUGGGAAACUGGG